CCUACGGGAGACAGCAGUGAGGAAUAUUGGUCAAUGUCCGGGAGGCUGAACCAGCCAAGUCGCGUGAGGGAAGACGGCCCUACGGGUUGUACACCUCUUUUGUCCGGGCGCAAGGUGCAGGUCGGGACCUGCUGUGAGAGUACCUGAAGCACACGCAUCGGCUCACUACGUGCCAGCAGCCGCUGUAAUACGGGUGAUGCGAGCGUUAUCCGGAUUUAUUGGGUUGAAAGGGUUCGCAGGCGUAGGCACAAGUCAGCGGGAACAUCGCGGGGCUCAACCCCGCUCCGCCGUUGAAACUGUGUCCCUUGAGUGCGCGAAGGGUAGGCGGAAUGCGUGGUGUAGGGGUGAAAUGCAGAGAUAGCACGCAGAACUCCGAUCGCGAAGGCAGCCUACCGGCGCGCAACUGACGCUCAUGCACGAAAGCGUGGGUAUCGAACAGGAUUAGAUACCCGGGUAGUC
RNAcentral lists this ribosomal RNA (459 nucleotides) under uncultured bacterium. Its description in RNAcentral is "partial 16S ribosomal RNA". It matches the Rfam family "Bacterial small subunit ribosomal RNA", at positions 338 to 795 of the family's 1533-position model. The record is from RNAcentral.